AUAGAAUCUCUGGUGAGGAGUCUCCAGAAUGUCCUGCAGUUGAACAAUGUGGAGUUACACAAGCAAGGGCUCCUGCUCUUCACUGAAAUAGUGAAACGGCAACCAGUGGAAAUUAAAUUAUUCACAAACCGAGGUACAUGUAUAGAUGCCAUUGAUGUUUUGAUGAAGACAGUGGACUGCCCAGUGCUGGAGGUGGUAGUGGAGGCUGUGAAAGCUGUGGCAGCUUUUCUGAGGAAGGAUCAUCUGAGCUCCCCUCCAGUCCCAUAUGAAAAUCUGCAGAAACUGCUGGAGGCAGUGCUGAAGCGAUGUGUUGACCUUUCCCCACCACACUGUAGCAACAAGCAUGAAGGUGAUUUCCUGUUAUCGAUGUCCCAGAGUAGAGUUUCUUGGAAACAUGGACAGC
This 403-nucleotide long non-coding RNA is filed under the name Chrysolophus pictus (golden pheasant). Its description in RNAcentral is "lncRNA (ENSCPIG00010000188.1)". The record is from RNAcentral. Lineage: Eukaryota; Metazoa; Chordata; Aves; Galliformes; Phasianidae.